GAAAAAUCAGAAUGGCAGUUGUCAAAGAUAAAGACAGCCAGACAUUAGUUAGAGUAGUGACAACAGAUUUUAUUCAGAAACUCCCGACAGUAGGGGAGAGAGCUGGGCUCCAUUCCGACGUGCGCGGAGCUUUUGUGGGCCAGGACUUGGAAGCGGCUGAGCUGGGUGCUUGGCUCACGGCCUCUUGAGGCGACGGUCGGGGUAUUGGCCAGGGUCGCAGUCACACAGUCAUCUGAAGGCUUCACCGGCCUGGCGGUCCUCUUCCACAGGGACUCGCUCACGUGCCUCACGAGUUGGUGUUGGCUGCUGGCAGGGGGCCCCCGUCCUCUCCCAAUGAGCCUUUCCACCAGCCGCUUGAAUGUCCUCUUGACAUGGAGGCUGGCUUCCCCUGAGAGAGAGAUCAAGAGAGACCAAGACUGAAGCCACAACAUUUUUCAUUACCCAGCCUCAAAAGUCACUCUCCAUCAUUUCUGCAACGUCCGUUGGUUACACAGGUCAACUCUAUUCAACAUGGAUGGGAACUACAAAAAGGCUUGAAUACCCAAAGGCAAGACUCGCUGAGGGCCGUCUCGGAGGACGGCUGCCGCUUGAGAGAAUGUCAAAUCCCACAGGUUCUUCAUCAUCCGGUCCAGCUUGCCCUGAUGUGCCCGCCCGUGUCAUCUCAGCUCUGCUGAGCCCUCUGUCCUCGGGCCCCUCAUCCGGCGCCGAGGCGUACAGUGUCUCCUGUGCCUUAACGCCAAGAGGGACGGCCGUUUGUAAGUCCUUUCAUAGCCUCCGCUACACCAAAGGCAGGGCUGAAAGCACACAUGGGGCCCAGAAGUUCUCGUCGAAUAACAAAAUAGUGAUUUUUGUCUCUUCAGAUGUCACGUGAGAGUUUCAGGAUUCCAUACUUUCCCAGGAGUUUUCCUUGUUAUCUUACAAGGACAAAUGUUUUCACCGUUAUCAAAAUUCCUUCAGUUGUUUGUAACUUUAAAGUCCCAUCAGGACCUGCGUUCCAAGACUUUAAACUACUGAAGCCUAACGUUGUAUUUAAUGAGGAGCAAAACCAAGUUAAUUCCCAUUCACAGAUGACAAGUGAACAGUUGGCAGCAAUUUCAACAUCUGCUUUUAAUUCAUUUAAGUGUGAUCAAAUGGUGAUUAAAAAAAGUGCUGGAAACUCUAAUAUUUCUCCAUUAUCCUUCGAAUAGUUGUCUCUGCUAACUGAAGUUGACUCUUGAUGGUUGUGUAGAUGGACCCAAAGUAAACACUGGGGCAGAGAGUGGUCCGUUUUUGUGCCUUCAUGUGGGAGCCUGUUUCACCCUUUCUUCGUUCCAAGUUCGUUCCCAAAUGUUCCAGACAAAAGGCUCUUGUUAGGGUUGAGUCACUGCUGGUUUGAAACGGGGAUAGUAACCAACAUGUUAGUUGGAACUAGCCUUAGAUUUAAAAACUUCUUGCCUUUGUGAGUUCACGCACACGCGCACACACAAUCUGUAAACAAUAUCCUCAGACGAUGGCUGUGCUGUUCUUUAUUUAUAAUCUGUCUCCAUUUGCCUCAUACACCUUGCUCACCCUUCCUUUUAGGCGUACUUCUUGCCAAAUAAAGUAAUUAGCAAGGAAUCAG
RNAcentral lists this long non-coding RNA (1600 nucleotides) under Equus caballus (horse). RNAcentral's name for it is "lncRNA (ENSECAG00000054817.1)". Lineage: Eukaryota; Metazoa; Chordata; Mammalia; Perissodactyla; Equidae. The record is from RNAcentral.